RNAcentral lists this ribosomal RNA (200 nucleotides) under uncultured bacterium. Its description in RNAcentral is "partial 16S ribosomal RNA". It matches the Rfam family "Bacterial small subunit ribosomal RNA", at positions 1301 to 1500 of the family's 1533-position model. The record is from RNAcentral.
CAGGCUGCAACUCGCCUGCAUGAAGUCGGAAUUGCUAGUAAUCGUGGAUCAGCAUGCCACGGUGAAUACGUUCCCGGGCCUUGUACACACCGCCCGUCACACCAUGGGAGUCGGUAACACCCGAAGCCUGUAGUCUAACCGCAAGGAGGACGCAGUCGAAGGUGGGAUUGAUGACUGGGGUGAAGUCGUAACAAGGUAAC